Acanthosepion pharaonis is the source of this 110-nucleotide non-coding RNA. NCBI's taxonomy places the organism in Eukaryota, Metazoa, Mollusca, Cephalopoda, Sepiida, Sepiidae. The record is from the annotation of a GenBank genome assembly.
GGCUACGUCACGUUGAAACACCGGUUCUCGUAGGAUCACCGAAGUUAAACAACGUUGAACCUCGUCAGUACCUAGGUGGAUGUUCACUUGGGAAUAUCAGGUGCUGUAAG